GACGGGGCCCGCACAAGCGGAGGAACAUUGUGGUUUAAUUCGAUGAUACGCGAGGAACCUUACCUGGGCUUAAAUGUAGAGUGCAUUUUCUAGAGAUAGGAAUUCCCUUCGGGGCUUUCUACGAGGUGCUGCAUGGUUGUCGUCAGCUCGUGCCGUGAGGUGUCGGGUUAAGUCCCAUAACGAGCGCAACCCUUAUCGUUAGUUGCCAUCUGGUAAAGCAGGGGACUCUAGCGAAACUGCCACCGUAAGGUGAGAGGAAGGUGGGAUGACGCCAAAUCAGCACGGCCCUUAUGUCCAGGGCUACACACGUGUUACAAUGGUCGGUACAGAGGGCAGCUACCUGGUGACAGGAUGCUAAUCUCGAAAACCGGCCUCAGUUCGGAUCGAAGUCUGCAACUCGACUUCGUGAAGCUGGAUUCGCUAGUAAUCGCGCAUCAGCCAUGGCGCGGUGAAUACGUUCCCGGGCCUU
Molecule: ribosomal RNA, 469 nt
Filed under: uncultured Sphingobacteriales bacterium
Lineage: Bacteria; Pseudomonadati; Bacteroidota; Sphingobacteriia; Sphingobacteriales
Description: bacterial SSU rRNA
Rfam family: Bacterial small subunit ribosomal RNA
Source: RNAcentral